RNAcentral lists this ribosomal RNA (275 nucleotides) under uncultured bacterium. RNAcentral's name for it is "partial 16S ribosomal RNA". It matches the Rfam family "Bacterial small subunit ribosomal RNA", at positions 338 to 606 of the family's 1533-position model. The record is from RNAcentral.
CCUACGGGUGGCUGCAGUGGGGAAUCUUGCGCAAUGGGCGAAAGCCUGACGCAGCGACGCCGCGUGGGUGAUGAAGGCCUUCGGGUUGUAAAGCCCUGUGGGGAGAGACGAAUGAGCACGGGCCAACACCCCGUGCGAUGACGGUAUCUCCUUAGCAAGCACCGGCUAACUCUGUGCCAGCAGCCGCGGUAAGACAGAGGGUGCGAACGUUGUUCGGAAUUACUGGGCGUAAAGCGCAUGUAGGCGGCCGCGCAGGUCGGGUGUGAAAGCCCUGG